Molecule: ribosomal RNA, 3038 nt
Filed under: Salmonella enterica subsp. enterica serovar 1,4,[5],12:i:-
Lineage: Bacteria; Pseudomonadati; Pseudomonadota; Gammaproteobacteria; Enterobacterales; Enterobacteriaceae
Description: 23S ribosomal RNA
Rfam family: Bacterial large subunit ribosomal RNA
Source: RNAcentral
GGGUUGUGAGGUUAAGCGACUAAGCGUACACGGUGGAUGCCCUGGCAGUCAGAGGCGAUGAAGGGCGUGCUAAUCUGCGAUAAGCGCCGGUAAGGUGAUAUGAACCGUUAUAACCGGCGAUACCCGAAUGGGGAAACCCAGUGUGACUCGUCACACUAUCAUUAACUGAAUCCAUAGGUUAAUGAGGCGAACCGGGGGAACUGAAACAUCUAAGUACCCCGAGGAAAAGAAAUCAACCGAGAUUCCCCCAGUAGCGGCGAGCGAACGGGGAGGAGCCCAGAGCCUGAAUCAGCAUGUGUGUUAGUGGAAGCGUCUGGAAAGGCGCGCGAUACAGGGGGUGACAGCCCCGUACACAAAAGCGCAUGUGCUGUGAGCUCGAUGAGUAGGGCGGGACACGUGGUAUCCUGUCUGAAUAUGGGGGGACCAUCCUCCAAGGCUAAAUACUCCUGACUGACCGAUAGUGAACCAGUACCGUGAGGGAAAGGCGAAAAGAACCCCGGCGAGGGGAGUGAAAAAGAACCUGAAACCGUGUACGUACAAGCAGUGGGAGCCCCACCACCAAAGCAUUCUCUGGUGUUGAAGGCCCUGCAAAGCAGCAUCGCGGUGGCGGAGCGUCGUUUGCGACGCCCAACACACAAAACAAGCGGUGAAUGCUUUGGGGUGGGGUGACUGCGUACCUUUUGUAUAAUGGGUCAGCGACUUAUAUUCUGUAGCAAGGUUAACCGAAUAGGGGAGCCGGAGGGAAACCGAGUCUUAAUUGGGCGUUAAGUUGCAGGGUAUAGACCCGAAACCCGGUGAUCUAGCCAUGGGCAGGUUGAAGGUUGGGUAACACUAACUGGAGGACCGAACCGACUAAUGUUGAAAAAUUAGCGGAUGACCUGUGGCUGGGGGUGAAAGGCCAAUCAAACCGGGAGAUAGCUGGUUCUCCCCGAAAGCUAUUUAGGUAGCGCCUCGUGAAUUCAUCUCCGGGGUAGAGCACUGUUUCGGCUAGGGGGCCAUCCCGGCUUACCAACCCGAUGCAAACUGCGAAUACCGGAGAAUGUUAUCACGGGAGACACACGGCGGGUGCUAACGUCCGUCGUGAAAGAGGGAAACAACCCAGACCGCCAGCUAAGGUCCCAACAAAGCGUAAUAGCUCACUGGUCGAGUCGGCCUGCGCGGAAGAUGUAACGGGGCUAAACCAUGCACCGAAGCUGCGGCAGCGAACGUAUCACCCAAGACAACUUUACGGAGUUGACGAUUGACGGAGCGAAGCGACGUCAAAGCGUUCAUUAAAGUCGAGUUGGCUUAGGGAUACGUUCACAAAGGGGAGCGCUCUGUAAGCCUGUGAAGGUGUGUCGUGAGGCAUGCUGGAGGUAUCAGAAGUGCGAAUGCUGACAUAAGUAACGAUAAAGCGGGUGAAAAGCCCGCUCGCCGGAAGACCAAGGGUUCCUGUCCAACGUUAAUCGGGGCAGGGUGAGUCGACCCCUAAGGCGAGGCCGAAAGGCGUAGUCGAUGGGAAACGGGUUAAUAUUCCCGUACUUGGUGUUACUGCGAAGGGGGGACGGAGAAGGCUAUGUUGGCCGGGCGACGGUUGUCCCGGUUUAAGCGUGUAGGUGUGUGUUCCAGGUAAAUCCGGUUCACUUUAACACUGAGGCGUGAUGACGAGGCACUACGGUGCUGAAGCAACAAAUGCCCUGCUUCCAGGAAAAGCCUCUAAGCAUCAGGUAACAUCAAAUCGUACCCCAAACCGACACAGGUGGUCAGGUAGAGAAUACCAAGGCGCUUGAGAGAACUCGGGUGAAGGAACUAGGGCAAAAUGGUGCCGUAACUUCGGGAGAAGGCACGCUGACACGUAGGUGAAGUGAUUUACUCACGGAGCUGAAGUCAGUCGAAGAUACCAGCUGGCUGCAACUGUUUAUUAAAAACACAGCACUGUGCAAACACGAAAGUGGACGUAUACGGUGUGACGCCUGCCCGGUGCCGGAAGGUUAAUUGAUGGGGUCAGCGCAAGCGAAGCUCCUGAUCGAAGCCCCGGUAAACGGCGGCCGUAACUAUAACGGUCCUAAGGUAGCGAAAUUCCUUGUCGGGUAAGUUCCGACCUGCACGAAUGGCGUAAUGAUGGCCAGGCUGUCUCCACCCGAGACUCAGUGAAAUUGAACUCGCUGUGAAGAUGCAGUGUACCCGCGGCAAGACGGAAAGACCCCGUGAACCUUUACUAUAGCUUGACACUGAACAUUGAGCCUUGAUGUGUAGAAAACGUUGGACGCAUUAAAAUUAAAAAAAAAAUCUGCAUGGAGCCGACCUUGAAAUACCACCCUUUAAUGUUUGAUGUUCUAACGUGGACCCGUAAUCCGGGUUGCGGACAGUGUCUGGUGGGUAGUUUGACUGGGGCGGUCUCCUCCUAAAGAGUAACGGAGGAGCACGAAGGUUGGCUAAUCAUGGUCGGACAUCAGGAGGUUAGUGCAAUGGCAUAAGCCAGCUUGACUGCGAGCGUGACGGCGCGAGCAGGUGCGAAAGCAGGUCAUAGUGAUCCGGUGGUUCUGAAUGGAAGGGCCAUCGCUCAACGGAUAAAAGGUACUCCGGGGAUAACAGGCUGAUACCGCCCAAGAGUUCAUAUCGACGGCGGUGUUUGGCACCUCGAUGUCGGCUCAUCACAUCCUGGGGCUGAAGUAGGUCCCAAGGGGGUAUGGCUGUUCGCCAUUUAAAGUGGUACGCGAGCUGGGUUUAGAACGUCGUGAGACAGUUCGGUCCCUAUCUGCCGUGGGCGCUGGAGAACUGGAGGGGGCUGCUUCUAGUACGAGAGGACCGGAGUGGACGCAUCACUGGUGUUCGGGUUGUCAUGCCAAUGGCACUGCCCGGUAGCUAAAUGCGGAAGAGAUAAGUGCUGAAAGCAUCUAAGCACGAAACUUGCCCCGAGAUGAGUUCUCCCUGAGACUUUAGGUCUCCUGAAGGAACGUUGAAGACGACGACGUUGAUAGGCCGGGUGUGUAAGCGCAGCGAUGCGUUGAGCUAACCGGUACUAAUGAACCGUGAGGCUUAACCUUACAACGCCGAAG